CGGUCGCCGACGAGGAGCGAGCCUCGGUGCACUCGGACAGCGAACGCUCUGAUGGCGGCUCGGAGGCUGCCGCCGCCAGCAAAAGAAAGCAAGGAGCUCAUAGCGACUCAGACUCAGUGGGAAGUGAUCGAGGAAAAAAA
Molecule: long non-coding RNA, 140 nt
Organism: Pollicipes pollicipes
Lineage: Eukaryota; Metazoa; Arthropoda; Thecostraca; Pollicipedomorpha; Pollicipedidae
Exons: 3
Source: RefSeq, a predicted model, not a curated record